This 323-nucleotide ribosomal RNA is filed under the name uncultured eukaryote. RNAcentral describes it as "partial 18S ribosomal RNA". It matches the Rfam family "Eukaryotic small subunit ribosomal RNA", at positions 1470 to 1796 of the family's 1831-position model. The record is from RNAcentral.
CCCUUAGAUGUUCUGGGUUGCACGCGUGCUACACUGAUAUUGCCAAUAUGUCAUUCUUAUCCGAAAUGGAUUGGGUAAUCAAGUAAUGAAAUUUCAUGCUUGGAAUCGGUAAUUGCAAUUUUAUCGUGAACGAGGAAUUCCUAGUAAGCACUAGUCAUCAGCUAAUGUUGAUUAUGUCCCUGCCCUUUGUACACACCGCCCGUCGCUACUACUGAUUGGGUGUUCAAGUGAGAUGCUUAGACCCUUGUUGCAUGGUUCAUUAUUGUGCUCCGAAAGGAAAAAGUUUCAAGCUUGAGUGUCUAGAGGAAGUAAAAGUCGUAACA